Molecule: ribosomal RNA, 478 nt
Filed under: uncultured bacterium
Lineage: Bacteria
Description: partial 16S ribosomal RNA
Rfam family: Bacterial small subunit ribosomal RNA
Source: RNAcentral
GACGAACGCUGGCGGCGUGCUUAACACAUGCAAGUCGAACGGUAAGGCCCUUCGGGGUACACGAGUGGCGAACGGGUGAGUAACACGUGGGUGAUCUGCCCUGCACUUCGGGAUAAGCCUGGGAAACUGGGUCUAAUACCGGAUAGGACUCCGGACUGCAUGGUCUGGGGUGGAAAGCUUUUGCGGUGUGGGAUGGGCCCGCGGCCUAUCAGCUUGUUGGUGGGGUGAUGGCCUACCAAGGCGACGACGGGUAGCCGGCCUGAGUGGGUGACCGGCCACACUGGGACUGGGAUACUGCCCAGACGCCUACGGGAGGCAGCAGUGGGGAAUAUUGCACAAUGGGCGCAAGCCUGACGCAGCGACGCCGCGUGAGGGAUGACGGCCUUCGGGUUGUAAACCUCUUUCAGCAUCGACGAAGCGGAAGUGACGGUAGGUGCAGAAGAAGGACCGGCCAACUACGUGCCAGCCGCCGCAGUAA